AAGCAUAAAUGGUUCAGAUCUAAAAAACGGGAUGGGCUGAGAAGACGAUGGUGGAAAACAUGAACUAUUAAGCUGGAAUCUGAGAGUUCAAAUAGUUUGGAUGUUGUAAGGGGAUUUGAAUAUCUCCAUAAUGGGUGCGCAGGUCGGAAUACUACGAAGGGGGUGAAUGAUGACGUCAUA
Molecule: long non-coding RNA, 180 nt
Organism: Helianthus annuus (common sunflower)
Lineage: Eukaryota; Viridiplantae; Streptophyta; Magnoliopsida; Asterales; Asteraceae
Exons: 3
Source: RefSeq, a predicted model, not a curated record